RNAcentral lists this ribosomal RNA (253 nucleotides) under uncultured bacterium. RNAcentral describes it as "partial 16S ribosomal RNA". It matches the Rfam family "Bacterial small subunit ribosomal RNA", at positions 524 to 776 of the family's 1533-position model. The record is from RNAcentral.
UACAGAGGUGGCAAGCGUUGUUCGGAAUUACUGGGCGUAAAGGGCGCGUAGGCGGCCAUCUAAGUCAGACGUGAAAUCCCCCGGCUUAACCUGGGAACUGCGUCUGAUACUGGACGGCUCGAGUUUGGGAGAGGGAUGCAGAAUUCCAGGUGUAGCGGUGAAAUGCGUAGGUAUCUGGAGGAAUACCGGUGGCGAAGGCGGCAUCCUGGACUAAUACUGACGCUGAGGCGCGAAAGCUAGGGGAGCAAACGGG